RNAcentral lists this long non-coding RNA (1700 nucleotides) under Marmota monax (woodchuck). Lineage: Eukaryota; Metazoa; Chordata; Mammalia; Rodentia; Sciuridae. The record is from RNAcentral.
CGCAGCUGAGCAGGGUACGCUCAGGGGUCAAUGUGGCCCUGGUGGCUUAUGGGAGCCCUGACACAUCUGCCCUGCACAUACCGUCUUGGGAACAAGAGGAUGCCAGGCAGGGAGCCCGACAGCUGGAGUGGGGGUGGCCGGAAGAGGGGGACGUUCUUCAGAUGGCCUUCGGGCUGCCGCAGUGGCCUGGGGCCCGCUGCAGGCGUCCAUUCCACGGCGCUGGAAUGCACUAGAGGAAGAGGACCCUCGGGGACAGGACCAUUUGCUUUCUUUGAAGGGACACGUGUUGAUCUGGGUUUAACUCCCUACAGUCCAGACAGGCUCCAUUCAAUGUGGUCGCGUUCCUGGAUCCUGAGAGAGGUGGGAAAGAGAAAAAUGAAAGGUGGACCCCUCGCUGACAACACAGUAGGUCAUGUGGAAAUACAGACAGGCUGGGCAAUAGCCCUGGCCCUUAGGGAUGGGGUUUGUCAUCCAAAAUGUUUGGAAUCAUUGGCCCAACAAAAUGGUGGAGGCCAGUGAUAGAGGUCCCAAUGGAGGGGCAUGAAGAUUCUAUGCCCUUUCUUGAUGUUGACUUUCAGCCAUGAAGGUGGAAAGAGGGGGAGAAGCAGCUUCACACUUUAACAGAGGGAGUGUCUUUAUCAAGAGGCAGGGGGGAGGUAAACACCUGUCUUAGUCCAUUUGCUGUUGCUGUAACAAAACACCUGAGUCUGGGUAAUUUAUGAAGUAAAGAGGUUUAUUUAGUUCACAGUUCUGAAGGUCCCAGAGCAUGGUCCUGGGGCCUGUUGAGGGCCUUGUACUGCUCCAUGCGUGGACAGGGAAACAGAUAUGUGUGGAAGACAUGCGGAGGGAUGUGAAGCAAGAGAGGUAGCAGAGGACACCAACCCACUGUCUCAGAGAUUAACCCAGAACUGUGAGGGAGAGAGCCCAUUCCUGGGAGAAAGGCACCCAUCCUCUUAAUGAUCCACCCACCUCUUAAAGCCCCACCCUCUCUCAAUGCUGUCACAUUGGGGACUAAACCUCAGCAUGAGCUUUGCUGGGGACAAACUAUAUCCAAACUGUAGAAGAACUCAACUGGCUGAAGAAACAAAAAGGAAUCUGUGGGCUCAUUUCUGAAGUACAGAAUACUGUCUGACUUCAGGCACAGCUGGAUCCAGGAACGUACCAAGGUCUUCAGCACCCUCCUCUCUCCACCUUCAGUCCUGGCUUAUCUCUAUGGAUCUCACCGUUGGGCCGUCUGUCUGCUUGUGGUGGCCUCAGAAACCCCAGCCCUGCACCUCACCAGCAAGAGAGCUCCAGAUUCUUCUUGGGACAGUCCAUAGUGGGCUCUUGAGCCUAGCCCAGGUCAGGUCCCCAUCCCUGAAUCACCCACUGUGGCCAGGGCCAUGGACAUGCUGGAUGGCCAGGCCAGGAGUGCAAGUCCGUCCCUUGAGUUGGAGGGCAGGGAGAGCCUUCCUAAGCCACAGGGGCUGACAUGAGGAUGCGGUGGCUCCCAGAGGCCAGCCUGGGGACCAGAACCAGAGGAUGGGACACAAGACCCACAAGCAAACACUUUGUCACCAUUGCGAACUGUUGAGGGGAUACUGAAGCAGUGGCCUCUGUCCUUGGGAUUUCCACCCUGACGUGCUCAGUGCUGGGGAGGACAGCCAGGCCAGGAGAGGCCCUGCAGCCUGCCUGUGGGGGAGCAAGGAGAAGGUUCCGGC